GACGAACGCUGGCGGCGUGCCUAACACAUGCAAGUCGAACGAGAGAUGAGGAGCUUGCUCUUCAAAUCGAGUGGCGAACGGGUGAGUAACGCGUGAGGAACCUGCCUCAAAGAGGGGGACAACAGUUGGAAACGACUGCUAAUACCGCAUAAGCCCACGGCUCGGCAUCGAGCAGAGGGAAAAGGAGCAAUCCGCUUUGAGAUGGCCUCGCGUCCGAUUAGCUAGUUGGUGAGGUAACGGCCCACCAAGGCGACGAUCGGUAGCCGGACUGAGAGGUUGAACGGCCACAUUGGGACUGAGACACGGCCCAGACUCCUACGGGAGGCAGCAGUGGGGAAUAUUGCACAAUGGGGGAAACCCUGAUGCAGCGACGCCGCGUGGAGGAAGAAGGUCUUCGGAUUGUAAACUCCUGUUGUUGAGGAAGAUAAUGACGGUACUCAACAAGGAAGUGACGGCUAACUACGUGCCAGCAGCCGCGGUAAAACGUAGGUCACAAGCGUUGUCCGGAAUUACUGGGUGUAAAGGGAGCGCAGGCGGGAGAACAAGUUGGAAGUGAAAUCCAUGGGCUCAACCCAUGAACUGCUUUCAAAACUGUUUUUCUUGAGUAGUGCAGAGGUAGGCGGAAUUCCCGGUGUAGCGGUGGAAUGCGUAGAUAUCGGGAGGAACACCAGUGGCGAAGGCGGCCUACUGGGCACCAACUGACGCUGGGGCUCGAAAGUGUGGGUAGCAAACAGGAUUAGAUACCCUGGUAGUCCACACCGUAAACGAUGAUUACUAGGUGUUGGAGGAUUGACCCCUUCAGUGCCGCAGUUAACACAAUAAGUAAUCCACCUGGGGAGUACGACCGCAAGGUUGAAACUCAAAGGAAUUGACGGGGGCCCGCACAAGCAGUGGAGUAUGUGGUUUAAUUCGACGCAACGCGAAGAACCUUACCAAGUCUUGACAUCCCUUGACGAUGCUGGAAACAGUAUUUCUCUUCGGAGCAAGGAGACAGGUGGUGCAUGGUUGUCGUCAGCUCGUGUCGUGAGAUGUUGGGUUAAGUCCCGCAACGAGCGCAACCCUUAUGGUCAGUUACUACGCAAGAGGACUCUGGCCAGACUGCCGUUGACAAAACGGAGGAAGGUGGGGAUGACGUCAAAUCAUCAUGCCCUUUAUGACUUGGGCUACACACGUACUACAAUGGCGUUAAACAAAGAGAAGCAAGACCGCGAGGUGGAGCAAAACUCAGAAACAACGUCCCAGUUCGGACUGCAGGCUGCAACUCGCCUGCACGAAGUCGGAAUUGCUAGUAAUCGUGGAUCAGCAUGCCACGGUGAAUACGUUCCCGGGUCUU
This 1333-nucleotide ribosomal RNA is filed under the name uncultured bacterium. Its description in RNAcentral is "bacterial SSU rRNA". It matches the Rfam family "Bacterial small subunit ribosomal RNA", at positions 28 to 1382 of the family's 1533-position model. The record is from RNAcentral.